Molecule: long non-coding RNA, 811 nt
Organism: Stomoxys calcitrans (stable fly)
Lineage: Eukaryota; Metazoa; Arthropoda; Insecta; Diptera; Muscidae
Exons: 2
Source: RefSeq, a predicted model, not a curated record
GAAUGGCACGGUGUUCUCUGCUGCGGCUUAGCUCGCCGGAUGGGGGAAUUCUUUGUCCUCUGUGGGUUGACACUUUAAAUUUAUAUGAUGUGCCAUAUGAUUACAACGGCCAAAAAUAAGACUGAAAUCAAAACAAAACGGAAACGGAUAUACAACGACAUUGCCUUUGAUCUUGGUCCAAAUAGGUUCGAAUCCUAAGGAACAUGGUGUUGUUGUUCCUCACGGCUACCCACCCCGUAUGACUUCUUAGUCAUCCAUGGUAUUUUCUUAGCCGGUUACUUCACGAAAAUACCCCUGAAUUGUUUAAACCGCCAUUUCAAAUUUUACGACCGUUACAUUUCCAGCCUGAUAUCAAUAACUAACACAUUUUGUUUUUCUUAUUUAGCUACAUAAUAGGCAAUAGAUUUAUUAUAAACAAAAGCUAGAUUUCGUUUACAAAAUACAACCUCCAGCUCUGGACUCAAUGAAUGCGACCUACAAUAGCAGCUGGUCGCACUAGCUAUGUAGCAACUUGGUGUCACUGGCUGACCGGGUCGUACUGUACCGACCAGAGAAAAACACGUGCGUCGGCCAAAAUGGAGAGGGCGCACCUAAGUUAUCCCUGUGCCAAUUGAAAAACAUAGAUAUAAAAAAAAACUACAAAUCCUUAAAGGCUGGUACAAAUUCUAAUGACCAUGGUCAUGGUGUCUCAAAAAAAAAAGAUACCAUGCCUUACUCCGCGUUACACGUGAACAGUCAUUUACAUUGAAAUGAAGUUGGAAUAUUCAUAUUGCUACUUUAUUGUAAAAAUAUAUUACACAAUUUAAUGAAC